GUGCUUGCUUUGGCAGCACAUAUACUGAAAUUGGGACUAUAAAGAGAGCAUUGCCCCUGCUCAAGGAUGACACGCAAAUUUUGAAGCAUUUCAUAUUUUU
Small nuclear RNA from Marmota marmota marmota (Alpine marmot), 100 nucleotides. The record is from Ensembl. Lineage: Eukaryota; Metazoa; Chordata; Mammalia; Rodentia; Sciuridae.